This 409-nucleotide ribosomal RNA is filed under the name uncultured Methylomirabilota bacterium. RNAcentral describes it as "bacterial SSU rRNA". It matches the Rfam family "Bacterial small subunit ribosomal RNA", at positions 1027 to 1434 of the family's 1533-position model. The record is from RNAcentral. Lineage: Bacteria; Methylomirabilota (SeqCode).
CGUGGAGACAGGUGGUGCAUGGCUGUCGUCAGCUCGUGUCGUGAGAUGUUGAGUUAAGUCCCGCAACGAGCGCAACCCUCACCCCUAGUUGCCACCGGGUUAAGCCGAGCACUCAAGGGGAACUGCCAGCGUCAAGCUGGAGGAAGGCGGGGAUGACGUCAAGUCAUCAUGCCCCUUACGCCCUGGGCUACACACGUGCUACAAUGGCCAGUACAAAGGGAACGCGAGACUGCGAAGUGGAGCUAAUCCCAAAAAGCUGGUCUAAGUUCAGAUUGCAGUCUGCAACUCGACUGUAUGAAGGAGGAAUCGCUAGUAAUCGCGUAUCAGCCCGGCGCGGUGAAUACGUUCCCGGGCCUUGUACACACCGCCCGUCACACCACGAAAGCUGUCUGUACUCGAAGUCGCUGAG